GCCUGCUUAGGCAAAAGGCAAAGCCUCCUGUCCUAAGAAACAGGUGCGUGCGGGUUCGACUCCCGCAGCAGGUA
Molecule: transfer RNA, 74 nt
Filed under: Streptomyces sp. ScaeMP-e83
Lineage: Bacteria; Bacillati; Actinomycetota; Actinomycetes; Kitasatosporales; Streptomycetaceae
Also listed under: 1 other name
Description: tRNA_Leu_AAG
Rfam family: tRNA
About the family: Transfer RNA (tRNA) molecules are approximately 80 nucleotides in length.
Source: RNAcentral